This 497-nucleotide ribosomal RNA is filed under the name uncultured bacterium. RNAcentral describes it as "partial 16S ribosomal RNA". It matches the Rfam family "Bacterial small subunit ribosomal RNA", at positions 28 to 507 of the family's 1533-position model. The record is from RNAcentral.
GAUGAACGCUGGCGGCGUGCCUAGUACAUGCAAGUCGAGCGAACGGACGAGAAGCUUGCUUCUCUGAUGUUAGCGGCGGACGGGUGAGUAACACGUGGAUAACCUACCUAUAAGACUGGGAUAACUUCGGGAAACCGGAGCUAAUACCGGAUAAUAUUUUGAACCGCAUGGUUCAAAAGUGAAAGACGGUCUUGCUGUCACUUAUAGAUGGAUCCGCGCUGCAUUAGCUAGUUGGUAAGGUAACGGCUUACCAAGGCAACGAUGCAUAGCCGACCUGAGAGGGUGAUCGGCCACACUGGAACAGAGACACGGUCCAGACUCCUACGGUAGGCAGCAGUAGGGAAUCUUCCGCAAUGGGCGAAAGCCUGACGGAGCAACGCCGCGUGAGUGAUGAAGGUCUUCGGAUCGUAAAACUCUGUUAUUAGGGAAGAACAUAUGUGUAAGUAACUGUGCACAUCUUGACGGUACCUAAUCAGAAAGCCACGGCUAACUACGUG